This 73-nucleotide transfer RNA is filed under the name Camelus bactrianus (Bactrian camel). It matches the Rfam family "tRNA". From Rfam's summary of the family: Transfer RNA (tRNA) molecules are approximately 80 nucleotides in length. Lineage: Eukaryota; Metazoa; Chordata; Mammalia; Artiodactyla; Camelidae. RNAcentral also lists the same sequence under 1 other name. The record is from Rfam by way of RNAcentral.
GAGGGUAUAGCUCAAGUGGUAGAGCACAUGCUUAGCAUGCACGAGGUUCCAGGUUCAAUCCCUAGUACCUCCU